RNAcentral lists this ribosomal RNA (502 nucleotides) under uncultured bacterium. RNAcentral's name for it is "partial 16S ribosomal RNA". It matches the Rfam family "Bacterial small subunit ribosomal RNA", at positions 29 to 523 of the family's 1533-position model. The record is from RNAcentral.
AUUGAACGCUGGCGGCAUGCCUUACACAUGCAAGUCGAACGGCAGCACGGGUGCUUGAACCUGGUGGCGAGUGGCGAACGGGUGAGUAAUACAUCGGAACGUACCUUAUCGUGGGGGAUAACGCAGCGAAAGCUGUGCUAAUACCGCAUACGCCCUGAGGGGGAAAGCGGGGGAUCGCAAGACCUCGCGCGAUUAGAGCGGCCGAUGCCUGAUUAGCUUGUUGGUGGGGUAAAAGCCCACCAAGGCGACGAUCAGUAGCUGGUCUGAGAGGACGAUCAGCCACACUGGGACUGAGACACGGCCCAGACUCCUACGGGAGGCAGCAGUGGGGAAUUUUGGACAAUGGGGGCAACCCUGAUCCAGCCAUUCCGCGUGAGUGAAGAAGGCCUUCGGGUUGUAAAGCUCUUUCGGCAGGGAAGAAACGGUUCUGGAUAAUACCCGGAGCUAAUGACGGUACCUGAAGAAGAAGCACCGGCUAACUACGUGCCAGCCGCCGCCGUAA